GAUGAACGCUGGCGGCGUGCUUAACACAUGCAAGUCGAACGAGAAAUGUAGACGGAAACCUUCGGGCGGAAGCCUUCAUUUCGAGUGGCGGACGGGUGAGUAACGCGUGGGUAACCUGCCUCAUACAGGGGGAUAACAGUUGGAAACGACUGUUAAUACCGCAUCAGACCACAGCAUCGCAUGAUGCGGGGGUAAAAACUCCGGUGGUAUGAGAUGGACCCGCGUUCGAUUAGCUAGUUGGCGGGGUAACGGCCCACCAAAGCGACGAUCGAUAGCCGAUCUGAGAGGAUGACCGGACACGUUGGGACUGAGACACGGCCCAAACUCCUACGGGAGGCAGCAGAGGGGGAUAUUGCACAAUGGGGGAAACCCUGAUGCAGCGACGCCGCGUGAGUGAAGAAGUACUUCAGUAUGUAAAGCUCUAUCAGCAAGGAAGAAAAUGACGGUACCUGAGUAAGAAGCCCCGGCUAACUACGUG
This 478-nucleotide ribosomal RNA is filed under the name uncultured bacterium. RNAcentral's name for it is "partial 16S ribosomal RNA". It matches the Rfam family "Bacterial small subunit ribosomal RNA", at positions 28 to 507 of the family's 1533-position model. The record is from RNAcentral.